UCGCCGCCAAAGGCGAGCGCAAAAUCCCUUUCUCCUCUCGGGAAAAUGUCAAGAUGAAAUCAAAAAGAAAUCAAAACUGCUGAGAGCGAAAAUCUACAUCGAAUUAUUUAAAAUGUUAGAACCAUUCAGUAACGCCUGUAGAAAGGGAAACAGCUGAAUUUCAAGUUCAAUAUACUUCCACUACAAAUGGGGAAUUGGCCACAGAUUUGUCUUCCACACCCCAGGGCAUAGCUGGACAAGACACACAUCUCUGGAAAAUGGAAGGAAGAAGAUAGAUGCUUCAGAAUCAGGAUUUAUCACCGGCAUAUGUCGUGAAAUGUGUUGUCUUUGCGACAUCAUCAUAGAAUAAACAAUUACAAUACAUCAACUACUCUGCUCAAGACCAGAAGAAACUGCUCAGCGCGUUGUGGAAACCAGCCUACCUUCCAUGGACUCUUUCUGCAUUCCUCACUACCUCAGUACAGCCAUCAUAAUCAAAGACCCCAAACACACCGGAUAUUUUCUCCUCCGAAGAUACACUCAGUGGCCACUUUAUUAGUCUUUUGUUGAGGAGAGAUGAAAAGGGAAGACACGUAUGGAGAGAGCUGGUAGACCAUUAGAUGGAAUGGACUGGGAUCUGAGGGUCUGAAGGUUGGCGACGUUCGGAGGAGACCAAUGGUGGAAGAAUGACUACUGAGUGAGCUCCAACGUGACUUUGACUGAAUUUUGGGUCCAUUUUUGUUUAUUUUCAUUACUAAUCCUAUAUUCAGAUUAAGAUUCAUAAAGUUCUAUCAUUUAAUUGCA
Hypanus sabinus (Atlantic stingray) is the source of this 783-nucleotide long non-coding RNA. RefSeq lists it as uncharacterized. The record is from RefSeq and is a predicted model, not a curated record. Lineage: Eukaryota; Metazoa; Chordata; Chondrichthyes; Myliobatiformes; Dasyatidae. The transcript has 3 exons.